Penaeus indicus is the source of this 165-nucleotide long non-coding RNA. RefSeq lists it as uncharacterized. The transcript is spliced from 2 exons. NCBI's taxonomy places the organism in Eukaryota, Metazoa, Arthropoda, Malacostraca, Decapoda, Penaeidae. The record is from RefSeq and is a predicted model, not a curated record.
UUUAAGUGUUCACUUUUCAUGGAUUUCAGCCAGUGUUAUGUCUAAUGGGCUGUGGAUAUGGGUUUGUGCCGUAACUGAGAUGUGAUGACAACUACUGGGAAUCAUGGAUUGUGAUAGUGUGGCCAUUGAAGUUGAAACUUUGCUCCAAUAAAAGACUGUUGCAGC